GAUGAACGCUGGCGGCGUGCUUAAUACAUGCAAGUCGAACGAGGAUAGAGGAACUUGCUCUUCUAUUCUAGUGGCGGACGGGUGAGUAACACGUGAGUAACCUGCCUUUCAGAGGGGGAUAACGUCUGGAAACGGACGCUAAUACCGCAUAACAUAGAGGUGUCGCAUGGCGCUUUUAUCAAAGGAGCAAUCCGCUGAGAGAUGGACUCGCGCCCGAUUAGCUAGUUGGUGGGGUAAAGGCCUACCAAGGCGACGAUCGGUAGCCGGACUGAGAGGUUGAACGGCCACAUUGGGACUGAGACACGGCCCAGACUCCUACGGGAGGCAGCAGUGGGGAAUAUUGCGCAAUGGGGGAAACCCUGACGCAGCAACGCCGCGUGAUUGAAGAAGGCCUUCGGGUUGUAAAGAUCUUUAAUCAGGGACGAAGGAAGUGACGGUACCUGAAGAAUAAGCUCCGGCUAACUACGUGCCAGCCGCCGCUGUAACAC
This 488-nucleotide ribosomal RNA is filed under the name uncultured bacterium. RNAcentral describes it as "bacterial SSU rRNA". It matches the Rfam family "Bacterial small subunit ribosomal RNA", at positions 28 to 526 of the family's 1533-position model. The record is from RNAcentral.